AGUGGGGAAUCUUAGACAAUGGGGGAAACCCUGAUCUAGCCAUGCCGCGUGAGCGAUGAAGGCCUUAGGGUUGUAAAGCUCUUUCAGCUGGGAAGAUAAUGACGGUACCAGCAGAAGAAGCCCCGGCUAACUCCGUGCCAGCAGCCGCGGUAAUACGGAGGGGGCUAGCGUUGUUCGGAAUUACUGGGCGUAAAGCGCGCGUAGGCGGGCUGUUAAGUCGGGGGUGAAAUCCCGGGGCUCAACCCCGGAACUGCCUUCGAUACUGGCAGCCUAGAGGUCGAGAGAGGUGAGUGGAAUUCCGAGUGUAGAGGUGAAAUUCGUAGAUAUUCGGAGGAACACCAGUGGCGAAGGCGGCUCACUGGCUCGAUACUGACGCUGAGGUGCGAAAGUGUGGGGAGCAAACAGGAUUAGAUACCCUGGUAGUCCACACCGUAAACGAUGAAUGCCAGACGUCGGGCAGCAUGCUGUUCGGUGUCACACCUAACGGAUUAAGCAUUCCGCCUGGGGUGUACGGCCGCAAGGUUA
Molecule: ribosomal RNA, 525 nt
Filed under: uncultured bacterium
Lineage: Bacteria
Description: bacterial SSU rRNA
Rfam family: Bacterial small subunit ribosomal RNA
Source: RNAcentral